Molecule: long non-coding RNA, 413 nt
Filed under: Zonotrichia albicollis (white-throated sparrow)
Lineage: Eukaryota; Metazoa; Chordata; Aves; Passeriformes; Passerellidae
Description: lncRNA (ENSZALG00000009646.1)
Source: RNAcentral
CCCGCCGCGCGACGCGGCGCCAACGCUCUGGUGCCGGUGUGUCUUUUCACUUUUGUGAGCCUGGCAUUUUCUUUGCUCUCCAGGUUAUGCCAAGACAGAAGGAGGGACUUGGAGAGGGAGGAUUAACCUUUCGCUGGCCACGAUUCCCUCCCUCUUAUCGCGGAGGCUUCGGCAAGGCGCCCCCCCCCAGCCAGCCUAUCUGUCUGAAUUGCUGAAAGCAUAAUGCUCCCAUAUGAGAGAUAAAACUUAGAAGCCUGAUGCCGCUGAAGCCACAAAUGCGGAGACAGCAGGGAUGGCAGCAAUGUGGGACUCUACAGUGCACCACAGUCGCCUUCCAGUUGGGCUGGUUUGCAGGAAAUCAGGAAAGAGAGACAUGCACUGUGCAUGACAGCACUCUGCAGUGGGAGAAGUGA